UACGGAGGGUGCGAGCGUUGUCCGGAAUUACUGGGCGUAAAGGGCGCGUAGGCGGGAUGGCAAGUCGGUCGUGAAAUCCCUCGGCUCAACCGAGGAACGUCGAUCGAUACUGCUGUUCUUGAGGAUUGCAGAGGAGACUGGAAUUCCCGGUGUAGCGGUGAAAUGUGUAGAGAUCGGGAGGAACACCGGUGGCGAAGGCGGGUCUCUGGGCAAUUCCUGACGCUGAGGCGCGAAAGCGUGGGGAGCAAACGGG
Molecule: ribosomal RNA, 253 nt
Filed under: uncultured bacterium
Lineage: Bacteria
Description: partial 16S ribosomal RNA
Rfam family: Bacterial small subunit ribosomal RNA
Source: RNAcentral